RNAcentral lists this ribosomal RNA (253 nucleotides) under uncultured bacterium. RNAcentral describes it as "partial 16S ribosomal RNA". It matches the Rfam family "Bacterial small subunit ribosomal RNA", at positions 524 to 776 of the family's 1533-position model. The record is from RNAcentral.
UACGUAGGGGGCAAGCGUUGUCCGGAAUCAUUGGGCGUAAAGAGCGUGUAGGCGGCUUGGAAGGUCAGCUGUGAAAACUGGAGGCUUAACCUCCAGACGUCGAUGGAAACCGUAUGGCUAGAGUCCGGAAGAGGAGAGUGGAAUUCCUGGUGUAGCGGUGAAAUGCGCAGAUAUCAGGAAGAACACCCGUGGCGAAGGCGGCUCUCUGGGACGGUACUGACGCUGAGACGCGAAAGCGUGGGGAGCGAACAGG